UACGUAGGGGGCGAGCGUUAUCCGGAAUUAUUGGGCGUAAAGAGUACGUAGGUGGUUUUUUAAGCGCAGGGUUUAAGGCGAUGGCUCAACUGUCGUUCGCCCUGUGAACUGGAAGACUUGAGUACAGGAGAGGAAAGCGGAAUUCCUAGUGUAGCGGUGAAAUGCAUAGAUAUUAGGAGGAACACCAGUGGCGAAGGCGGCUUUCUGGACUGUAACUGACACUGAGGUACGAAAGCGUGGGGAGCAAACAGGAUUAGAUACCCUGGUAGUCCACGCCGUAAACGAUGAGCACUAGGUGUCGGGGUCGCAAGAUCUCGGUGCCGCAGUUAACGCAUUAAGUGCUCCGCCUGGGGAGUACGCACGCAAGUGUGAA
Molecule: ribosomal RNA, 373 nt
Filed under: uncultured bacterium
Lineage: Bacteria
Description: bacterial SSU rRNA
Rfam family: Bacterial small subunit ribosomal RNA
Source: RNAcentral